This 458-nucleotide small RNA is filed under the name Jaculus jaculus (lesser Egyptian jerboa). Its description in RNAcentral is "sRNA (ENSJJAG00000005615.1)". The record is from RNAcentral. Lineage: Eukaryota; Metazoa; Chordata; Mammalia; Rodentia; Dipodidae.
CAUCUUAAUACUUUUUCACUAGAUCAUGAAGCAGUUUAUUUAAUAUUAUUUGGAUAACAAGCCUCCGCAUGAAUGCAACUCGAAUGUCAGUUGUCUGAAGGGAAAAAAAGAUUUAUUGGUUAGUAAAUAUUGAGAAAGAAACGCUGAUAAAGACCAGCUUCAGCUGCGGCCUCUGUCUGGAAUGGGAGAACAGGCCUGUGUUGUAUUUUGGGGCCCUGGGAAGGCAAAAACUGGUGAAUGUCUUUCUUUGUUGGUUAGUGUAAAAGUAGAGUCUACCACAAAUAAUUUCUUAUUUCUGUUCACAUAGAUUUUAAAUUAUGUAGCUCCCUACCUUGUUAAGUAUUAAAGCGGGCUUGUUUUAGGAGGAGGCAUUUAAAUAAUGAAGCUUAUGUAUCUUGUUUUCAGACAUCAAUAUCUGGCUUUGAGUGGCACAAAGAGAUAAAAGAAUGUGGAUUCUG